Molecule: ribosomal RNA, 330 nt
Filed under: Triticum aestivum (bread wheat)
Lineage: Eukaryota; Viridiplantae; Streptophyta; Magnoliopsida; Poales; Poaceae
Description: partial small subunit ribosomal RNA
Source: RNAcentral
AUGUUUAGGAGAGUAACUCUGCUCUGGACCAAUCUCCGGAACAGAAUUCCUGCUCCAGCCUCAAGAUCUCCAACACUGCACUCUAGGACCUGCAACUGCUCCUCCUUGCAAACAACCGAGUUCUUCUUCUGGAAUGCUUUGGAGACGAGAGACCAUUUUGGCACUGCGAUUUGCUUGGACAAGAGGUGUACUGUUGACUCGAGGAGAGAGGUGGUGAUCUCCCUAGCCUCGCUCAACAGCCUGACCAUCCUGCAGUCCUCCUUGUCGGAUGUAACCUUCUUCGCGGCCUUCUUGAAAUGUUUCUUCGCCUUCUUCACCAGGCGGGUGUAA